AUUUAAAUAGCUUAAAAAGAGUUUAAUAUUGAAGAUAUUAAGGUAAUAAUUAAUUAUUUUUAAAUA
This 66-nucleotide transfer RNA is filed under the name Polistes rothneyi. RNAcentral describes it as "tRNA-Phe". The record is from RNAcentral. Lineage: Eukaryota; Metazoa; Arthropoda; Insecta; Hymenoptera; Vespidae.